This 244-nucleotide ribosomal RNA is filed under the name uncultured bacterium. Its description in RNAcentral is "partial small subunit ribosomal RNA". It matches the Rfam family "Bacterial small subunit ribosomal RNA", at positions 26 to 285 of the family's 1533-position model. The record is from RNAcentral.
AGAAUCAACGCUGGCGGCGUGCCUAACACAUGCAAGUCGAACGAGAAAGUGGAGCAAUCCAUGAGUACAGUGGCGCACGGGUGAGUAACACGUGACUAACCUACCCUUGAGUGGGGAAUAACCUGGAGAAAUCUAGGCUAAUACCGCAUAACACCUACGAGUCAAAGGAGCAAUUCGCUUAAGGAGGGGGUCGCGGCAGAUUAGCUAGUUGGCGGGUAAUGGCCCACCAAGGCAGUGAUCUGUA